Molecule: long non-coding RNA, 1366 nt
Filed under: Pectinophora gossypiella (pink bollworm)
Lineage: Eukaryota; Metazoa; Arthropoda; Insecta; Lepidoptera; Gelechiidae
Description: uncharacterized LOC126381271
Source: RNAcentral
AACUAAACAUAAUGGUCUUAUGGUCUCGUUCUGUGGUCUCGUUGCCGAGAAGUUCUCUUGUUAAUUUCCUGUGCUACUUUGUUAGGAUUUGUAGCUUACAAGAUCAUCGAGUAGUGCGAGCGUCGACAUUCUACUGUAAAAACUUCCAGAGCCAUUGUGUGUUUUGGAUAGAGCCGAUAUGAUAAAAAGUUUGUGGAUAAUGUUCGUUGAUAAAUUGCAAUGUGUUAAUGCUGAUCGACUUUGUCAUACUAACUCAUACUCAUACUAAGAGAUGCAAGCAACAAUAACAAGUUUCCUGAAGAAUGUUCCAGUCGGACAGUUGGAAACAAUUAUGUCUGUAUAAGUUGUGGAAUAUCUUUGGGAAGGCACUCACGAAGAUAAAAUCACAGGCCAUGGGCUUAUGGAAAGAAGUGAAGAGUGGUAUUAUAUAGAAAAACAAUCUCCGAGAUAGAUGCCUGAUGGAUGCCCAUGUAUGCAUUGUUUGCAGGAUGAGCUCACCUCAAAAGCAUUAAUAUCUAGCGAACAUAAAAGCUGUGUUAGGUGUGUUGUUGCAAUGUAUAUAGUUCUAUUUAUUAACCCCUGACUCGAAAACAACGGGGUGUUAUAAGUUUGAAGUGUGUGUAUGUGUCUGUCUGUGGCAUCGUAGCUCCCAAACGGAUGAUCCAAUUUUAAUAUGUUUUUUUUUUGUUUGUAAGUUAUAUUAGUCGAGAGUGUUCUUAGCUAUGUUUGGUAGAAAUCGGUUCAGGUCUUCAAGGUCAUCAGAAAUGUUUGUUAAGUGUGAUAGGAAUGUUACACGCUCAGUUUGCUUGCAAGCAUAGGUAUGUGGGAUAACUUAUUUUUUGCUUUUUAUAGGGUUUUUAAUUUUUUCACCUUUUUUCAUAAUAAUUGAAUACUUUUGUUUUGUCGGGUUUUUUUUUUGUUCCAAGAUGUUGGUAAAUUAUAAGUUUAUAUCACUUUAUAAUUAUAAUUUAUAUUAUUAAAUCAUUAAAUAGAUAAAAACCUGUGUAUAUUUUUAUGUUAUGUUAUUGUUAAGUUUAUUCUCUACCUACUUACUUACUAAUAUGUUACCAUAUUAAGUCUGUUCAAAAAUCAUAAAUAGGUACUUGUUCUUCAUCUAUCAUGUAGGUUGUGAAGUGGAUGACCAACCUCAUCAACCAGAGUUAUUGCUGCGCCGCCAAUGUCGUUGGAUCAGCCAGCCAUGUCCUAACUGAACCAAGGAUCACAAAGAAAUUUUUGUGUUUUGUCUCCACCGGGACUUGAACCUGGGACCUCCGGAAUGUCAGCCACUGGACAACAUAGGCCGAGAGUAUAUGGUUAAGUUGCUGUAUUAUUUCAACUAUUUAAUUAAAUGUAGGAAUAUUUUGUA